RNAcentral lists this transfer RNA (77 nucleotides) under Clostridiales bacterium. Its description in RNAcentral is "tRNA-Ile". It matches the Rfam family "tRNA". Rfam says of the family: Transfer RNA (tRNA) molecules are approximately 80 nucleotides in length. Their secondary structure includes four short double-helical elements and three loops (D, anti-codon, and T loops). Lineage: Bacteria; Bacillati; Bacillota; Clostridia; Eubacteriales. The record is from RNAcentral.
GGGCCUUUAGCUCAGUUGGUCAGAGCGGUCGGCUCAUAACCGACUGGUCCGGGGUUCGAGUCCCUGAAGGCCCACCA